Long non-coding RNA from Pantherophis guttatus, 266 nucleotides. RefSeq lists it as uncharacterized. The record is from RefSeq and is a predicted model, not a curated record. NCBI's taxonomy places the organism in Eukaryota, Metazoa, Chordata, Lepidosauria, Squamata, Colubridae.
GCCCAUUCCCCAUGGCAUAUGACUGGAGGCCUGCCAGCUGAGGAGAUAAAUCGGGGGAGAAUCGCCCCAGGACAAUGAAGAGAGAGUCUAAAAGUCCUAGACCCUUCAGAAACCGCAGGACCAAGUUUGAAGCCGACUGCAACCGCCAGGUCCCAUGCAACUCGCUGGGAUUUCCGCUGAAUCGCAGUAGAGAUGCAGAGAAUAUGGCUUUCCUUCUAGAGCUGCUGCAUACUUCAUUCGAAAAUAAAUCUCCCUGGGUUCUCUAA